ACAUACGACCAUACCCACUGGAAUAUACGGGAUCCCGUCCGCUCUCCCCUAGUCAAACCAGUGAGGGCCGAACUAGUACUCAGGUGGGUGACCACUGGGGAAUCCUCGGUGUUGUAUGNNNNN
Molecule: ribosomal RNA, 123 nt
Filed under: Gaeumannomyces graminis
Lineage: Eukaryota; Fungi; Ascomycota; Sordariomycetes; Magnaporthales; Magnaporthaceae
Source: RNAcentral